CCUACGGGAGGCAGCAGUGAGGAAUAUUGGUCAAUGGACGAGAGUCUGAACCAGCCAAGUAGCGUGAAGGAUGACUGCCCUAUGGGUUGUAAACUUCUUUUAUAUGGGAAUAAAACGUUCAACGUGUGGGAUUUUGUAUGUACCAUAUGAAUAAGGAUCGGCUAACUCCGUGCCAGCAGCCGCUGUAAUACGGAGGAUCCGAGCGUUAUCCGGAUUUAUUGGGUUUAAAGGGAGCGUAGGUGGAUUGUUAAGUCAGUUGUGAAAGUUUGCGGCUCAACCGUAAAAUUGCAGUUGAAACUGGCAGUCUUGAGUACAGUAGAGGUGGGCGGAAUUCGUAGUGUAGCGGUGAAAUGCUUAGAUAUCACGAAGAACUCCGAUUGCGAAGGCAGUUCACUGGACUGCAACUGACACUGAGGCUCGAAAGUGUGGGUAUCAAACAGGAUUAGAUACCCUUGUAGUC
Molecule: ribosomal RNA, 460 nt
Filed under: uncultured bacterium
Lineage: Bacteria
Description: partial 16S ribosomal RNA
Rfam family: Bacterial small subunit ribosomal RNA
Source: RNAcentral